GGGGCCGACUGGUUUUGACAGCAUAGGGCGGGGUAAGUAAGCAUGUCGUGCGUUGUGUGGUCAGCACGUAAAUCUGAAUGCUCAAAACUUCAAAUGGCAAUACACAGUAUGCCAUGGCUGCCUAAUUAGAUUAGCGCACCCAUUUUGGCCGCAGAGCGCCGCUGCCUGUAGCAGCACUGCCGCCUAACUCGAAAAAAAACAGGAUAGCAAUGCAGUAGCCAUGCCUGCAGCGCGAAACUAAAAUGGCGUAGGUAAGCAGUAGGUUCGCCCGGAUCCGGCUGAUUACCGAAAUACAAUUCCGGAAUAAGCAUGUAGAAAGCUUAUCGAGCAUAUGUUUGGACGUGGGUUCGAAUCCCACCGGUUCCACAA
This 369-nucleotide transfer-messenger RNA is filed under the name Chitinophagaceae. RNAcentral's name for it is "Flavipsychrobacter sp018267795 Standard tmRNA". It matches the Rfam family "transfer-messenger RNA". Rfam says of the family: Bacterial tmRNA, also known as 10Sa RNA or SsrA, is named for its dual tRNA and mRNA-like properties. Its role is to liberate the mRNA from a stalled ribosome. To accomplish this part of the tmRNA is used as a reading frame that ends in a translation stop signal. The record is from RNAcentral. RNAcentral also lists the same sequence under 1 other name. Lineage: Bacteria; Pseudomonadati; Bacteroidota; Chitinophagia; Chitinophagales.